This 943-nucleotide ribosomal RNA is filed under the name uncultured archaeon. RNAcentral describes it as "bacterial SSU rRNA". It matches the Rfam family "Archaeal small subunit ribosomal RNA", at positions 21 to 903 of the family's 1478-position model. The record is from RNAcentral.
CCCGACUGCUAUUUGGGUGAGGGAUAAGCCAUGCGAGUUAUAUGGGAUACCUAAAUUUCCCAUGGCAAACUGCUUAGUAACACAUGAUCAACUUACCCUAUGGAGAAAAAUAACCUCGGGAAACUGAGGAUAAUGUUUCAUAGGUGAAUAGGCUUGGAAAAGUUUUUCAUCGAAAAGGAUAAGAAAAAUGGUUUUUAUCUGUCCAUAGGAUAGGAUCGUGGUCGAUUAUGGUUGUUGGUGAGGUAACGGCUCACCAAGCCGACAAUCGAUAGGGGCCGUGAGAGCGGGAGCCCCAAGAUGGGUACUGAGACAGCGACCCAGGCCUUACGAGGCGCAGCAGGCGCGAAACCUCCGCAAUACACGAAAGUGUGACGGGGUUACCCAAAGUGUUCUUUUAAGAACUGUGGUAGGUGAGUAAUAGCCCUACUAGAAAGGAGAGGGCAAGGCUGGUGCAACCGCCGCGGUAAAACCAGCUCUUCAAGUUGGUCGGGAUAAUUAUUGGGCUUAAAGUGUCCGUAGCCGGUUUAGUAAGUCCCUGGUAAAAUCGGGUAGCUUAACUAUCCGCAUGCUAGGAAUACUACUAUACUAGAGGGCGGGAGAGGUCUGAGGUACUACAGGGGUAGGGGUGAAAUCUUAUAAUCCUUGUAGGACCACCAGUGGCGAAGGCGUCAGACUGGAACGCGCCUGACGGUGAGGGACGAAAGCCAGGGGAGCGAACCGGAUUAGAUACGUCGGUGCUAGUUGAAUGUAAGAAUUACUAACACCACGCUAAAAACCCGGGUAGUCCUGGCCGUAAACGAUGCAUACUAGGUGAUGAUACGGCCAUGAGCCGUGUCAGUGCCGUAGGGAAACCGUUAAGUGUGCCGCCUGGGAAGUACGGUCGCAAGGCUAAAACUUAAAGGAAUUGGCGGGGGAGCACCACAAGGGGUGAAGCCUGCGGUUC